GACGAACGCUGGCGGCGUGCUUAACACAUGCAAGUCGAACGAAGUGGCGAACGGGUGAGUAACGCGUAAUCAACCUGCCCUUCAGAGGGGAACAACAGUUGGAAACGACUGCUAAUACCGCAUACUGAAGGAGGGGAUGGCGUCGGAUUGGCUAGUUGGGGGGGUAACGGCCCACCAAGGCGAUGAGCAGUCGCCGGGCGUGUAGGAGGCAAGGCCAAAUUGUGCGUGAGAAACGGCCCCGAUCCCUACGGGAGUCAGCAGUGGGGAAUUUUCCGCAAUGGAAGAAAGUCUGACGGAGCAACUCCCCGUGAGUGAGGAGGGCUUUCGGGUUGUAAAGAUUUGUUAAGCGGGACGCGGUACCGGAAUAGAAAGCCACGGCUAACUACGUGCCAGCAGCCGCGGUAAUAC
RNAcentral lists this ribosomal RNA (408 nucleotides) under uncultured bacterium. RNAcentral's name for it is "partial 16S ribosomal RNA". It matches the Rfam family "Bacterial small subunit ribosomal RNA", at positions 28 to 526 of the family's 1533-position model. The record is from RNAcentral.